UACGUAGGGUGCAAGCGUUGUCCGGAAUUAUUGGGCGUAAAGAGCUCGUAGGCGGUCUGUCGCGUCGGCUGUGAAAACUCGGGGCUCAACUCCGAGCUUGCAGUCGAUACGGGCAGGCUAGAGUUCGGCAGGGGAGACUGGAAUUCCUGGUGUAGCGGUGAAAUGCGCAGAUAUCAGGAGGAACACCAAUUGCGAAGGCAGCUCGCUGGGACGUUACUGACGCUGAGACGCGAAAGCGUGGGGAGCAAACAGG
This 253-nucleotide ribosomal RNA is filed under the name uncultured bacterium. Its description in RNAcentral is "partial 16S ribosomal RNA". It matches the Rfam family "Bacterial small subunit ribosomal RNA", at positions 524 to 776 of the family's 1533-position model. The record is from RNAcentral.